This 427-nucleotide ribosomal RNA is filed under the name uncultured bacterium. RNAcentral's name for it is "bacterial SSU rRNA". It matches the Rfam family "Bacterial small subunit ribosomal RNA", at positions 355 to 774 of the family's 1533-position model. The record is from RNAcentral.
UGGGGAAUUUUGGACAAUGGGCGCAAGCCUGAUCCAGCCAUGCCGCGUGAGUGAAGAAGGCCUUCGGGUUGUAAAGCUCUUUCGGACGGGAAGAAAUGGCGGGCUCUAACAUAGCCUGUCGACGACGGUACCGUAAGAAGAAGCACCGGCUAACUACGUGCCAGCAGCCACGGUAAUACGUAGGGGGCAAGCGUUGUCCGGAUUUACUGGGCGUAAAGGGCGCGUAGGCGGCGCGGUAAGUCACUUGUGAAAUCUCUGAGCUUAACUCAGAACGGCCAAGUGAUACUGCUGUGCUAGAGUGCAGAAGAGGCAACCGGAAUUCUUGGUGUAGCGGUGAAAUGCGUAGAUAUCAAGAGGAACACCUGAGGCGAAGGCGGGUUGCUGGGCCGACACUGACGCUGAUGCGCGAAAGCCAGGGGAGCAAACG